This is a long non-coding RNA of Lagenorhynchus albirostris (white-beaked dolphin), 476 nucleotides long. RefSeq lists it as uncharacterized. Lineage: Eukaryota; Metazoa; Chordata; Mammalia; Artiodactyla; Delphinidae. The transcript is spliced from 3 exons. The record is from RefSeq and is a predicted model, not a curated record.
CGGCUCUGAAAGGGGGAUGGGAGAGCGAGCAGAAAGCAGAAAAACCAGCUUUGAACUAUGCAUGCAAGGCCUCUCUCAAGACUCAAAUUCUUGCGGAAGGCGCUGGAAUACACCUGUAGAGAUGACAAGCUUCCUGCUCCAAUCUCAUAUGUGAUGAAAAUUGACUGCAGAAGACCCACUGCUAUGAAUUUAAGGGUACAAGGAUUCCAGCCCUGGUCCAGGAAGAUCCCACAUGCCGCAGAGCAACUAAGCCCACGAGCCACGACUACGGAGCCCAUGUGCCACAACCACUGAAAGCCCGCGCGCCUAGAGCCCAUGCUCCGCAACAAGAGAAGCCACCGCAAUGAGAAGCCCGAGUACCGCAACGAAGAGCAGCCCCUGCUCGCCGUAACUAAAGAAAGCUUGCACGCAGCAACGAAGACCCAACGCAGCCAUAAAUAAAUAAAUAAAAUAAAUAAAAAUUUUUAAAAAUGCAA